RNAcentral lists this ribosomal RNA (506 nucleotides) under uncultured bacterium. RNAcentral describes it as "partial 16S ribosomal RNA". It matches the Rfam family "Bacterial small subunit ribosomal RNA", at positions 28 to 523 of the family's 1533-position model. The record is from RNAcentral.
GAUGAACGCUAGCUACAGGCUUAACACAUGCAAGUCGAGGGGUAACAAGAGGAAAGCUUGCUUUCCUUGUCGACGACCGGCGCACGGGUGAGUAACGCGUAUCCAACCUGCCCCCAACUAGGGAAUAACCUUGCGAAAGUAAGACUAAUACCCUAUAAUUUCCUCAGAUGACAUCUGACGAGGAAUAAAGAUUUAUCGGUUGUGGAUGGGGAUUCGUCUGAUUAGCUUGGUGGCGGGGUAACGGCCCACCAAGGCAACGAUCAGUAGGGGUUCUGAGAGGAAGGUCCCCCACAUUGGAACUGAGACACGGUCCAAACUCCUACGGGAGGCAGCAUUGAGGAAUAUUGGUCCAUGGGCGGAAGCCUGAACCAGCCAAGUAGCGUGCAGGAUGACGGCCCUAUGGGUUGUAAACUGCUUUUAUACAGGAAUAAAGUUAGCCACGUGUGGUUAUUUGUAGGUACUGUAUGAAUAAGGACCGGCUAAUUCCGUGCCAGCAGCCGCGGUAA